Molecule: long non-coding RNA, 535 nt
Filed under: Lathyrus oleraceus (garden pea)
Lineage: Eukaryota; Viridiplantae; Streptophyta; Magnoliopsida; Fabales; Fabaceae
Description: Pisum sativum (pea) long non-coding RNA (PSAT_LNC026101)
Source: RNAcentral
ACGGAUGGCAAACUGGUAAAUAUGCAUGCCACUAACUUAAGCUACGCGUUUUGGGCAUUCAAAAUGAAAUGUUUUGAUUGGCUCCCAGCCAAUCAAACAGUAAUUAUGCAGAAAAUUCAAAACAAACACCAAUUGAAAUCCAAGUUUUUUUGAAAAAAAAAUGCUGUUAGGGUUUUGGAAACUUAGGGUGUAACUGCAGCAUCAUGUGUUCAUCAUCACCGUCAUUCGACCAAACAAACUACAGCAUGGCAUAGCAAACCAACAGCAUUCAUUUUCAAACAAGAUCAUCCAUUGACAUGAGCAAAAAAAAAAAAAAAAACAUCCAGCAUCAAACAAUUGAGCAUAGCCAUGAAAAUUAACAGCAAAACAACAUGAUCAUGGGAAUUGUUUGGAUAGAACAACAGGUUUAAACAACAGCAAAGAUGCAUUCAUCAUGUAAUCAACCAAGAAUAGAAUCCAACAAAAUCACUCAAACAGCAGGACAUUAAUGCUUCACAUGGCAAUGUUCAUGGUUUCAAACACAACAGCAUAGUAU